Molecule: ribosomal RNA, 487 nt
Filed under: uncultured bacterium
Lineage: Bacteria
Description: bacterial SSU rRNA
Rfam family: Bacterial small subunit ribosomal RNA
Source: RNAcentral
CUACGUGCCAGCAGCCGCGGUAAUACGGAAGGUUCGGGCGUUAUCCGGAUUUAUUGGGUUUAAAGGGAGCGUAGGCCGUAGAUUAAGCGUGUUGUGAAAUGUAGAUGCUCAACAUCUGACUUGCAGCGCGAACUGGUUUACUUGAGUGUGCGCAACGUAGGCGGAAUUCGUCGUGUAGCGGUGAAAUGCUUAGAUAUGACGAAGAACUCCGAUUGCGAAGGCAGCUUACGGGAGCACAACUGACGCUGAAGCUCGAAGGUGCGGGUAUCAAACAGGAUUAGAUACCCUGGUAGUCCACGCCGUAAACGAUGAGUGCUAGGUGUUGGGUCCUUUCCGGGACUCAGUGCCGCAGCUAACGCAUUAAGCACUCCGCCUGGGGAGUACGACCGCAAGGUUGAAACUCAAAGGAAUUGACGGGGGCCCGCACAAGCGGUGGAGCAUGUGGUUUAAUUCGAAGCAACGCGAAGAACCUUACCAGGUCUUGACA